UACGUAGGGGGCAAGCGUUGUCCGGAAUUAUUGGGCGUAAAGCGCGCGCAGGCGGUUCUUUAAGUCUGAUGUGAAAGCCCACGGCUCAACCGUGGAGGGUCAUUGGAAACUGGAGAACUUGAGUACAGAAGAGGAAGGCGGAAUUCCACGUGUAGCGGUGAAAUGCGUAGAGAUGUGGAGGAACACCAGUGGCGAAGGCGGCUUUCUGGUCUGUAACUGACGCUGAGGCGCGAAAGCGUGGGGAGCAAACAGG
RNAcentral lists this ribosomal RNA (253 nucleotides) under uncultured bacterium. Its description in RNAcentral is "partial 16S ribosomal RNA". It matches the Rfam family "Bacterial small subunit ribosomal RNA", at positions 524 to 776 of the family's 1533-position model. The record is from RNAcentral.